This 440-nucleotide ribosomal RNA is filed under the name uncultured bacterium. Its description in RNAcentral is "partial 16S ribosomal RNA". It matches the Rfam family "Bacterial small subunit ribosomal RNA", at positions 338 to 795 of the family's 1533-position model. The record is from RNAcentral.
CCUACGGGAUGCAGCAGUGGGGAAUAUUGCACAAUGGGGGAAACCCUGAUGCAGCGACGCCGCGUGAGUGAAGAAGUAUCUCGGUACGUAAAGCUCUAUCAGCAGGGAAGAAAAUGACGGUACCUGAAUAAGAAGCACCGGCUAACUACGUGCCAGCAGCCGCGGUAAUACGUAGGGGGCAAGCGUUAUCCGGCUUUACUGGGUGUAAAGGGAGCGUAGACGGCAGAACAAGUCUGGAGUGAAAUCCCGGGGCCUAACCCCGGAACUGCUUUGGAAACUGUGCGGCUGGAGUGCAGUAGGGGUAAGCGUAAUUCCUAGUGUAGCGGUGAAAUGCGUAGAUAUUAGGAGGAACACCGGUGGCGAAGGCGGCUUACUGGACUGUAACUGACGUUGAGGCUCGAAAGCGUGGGGAGCAAACAGGAUUAGAUACCCGAGUAGUC